Molecule: ribosomal RNA, 402 nt
Filed under: uncultured bacterium
Lineage: Bacteria
Description: bacterial SSU rRNA
Rfam family: Bacterial small subunit ribosomal RNA
Source: RNAcentral
AGCGAACGCUGGCGGCGUGCCUAACACAUGCAAAUCGAACGUGAAAAGGGGCAACCCUGAGUAAAGUGGCGUACGGGUGAGUAACACGUAGGUAAUCUACCUCGAAGUCUGGAAUAACCUGCCGAAAGGCGGGCUAAUACUGGAUAGUGCGAUGGAAUCCGUAAUUGGGUUUCUCGGGAAAGGGAGCUCGCAAGAGCCUUCACUUUUGAGAUGAGCCUGCGUCCCAUUAGUUAGUUGGUAGGGAAUGGCCUACCAAGGCUUUGAUGGGUAGCUGGUCUGAGAGGAUGAUCAGCCACACUGGAACUGAACACGGUCCAGACUCCUACGGGAGGCAGCAGUGGGGAAUCUUGCGCAAUGGACGAAAGUCUGACGCAGCCACGCCGCGUGAGUGAAGAAGGCCUC